Micropterus dolomieu (smallmouth bass) is the source of this 3785-nucleotide RNA transcript. It is a transcript of the gene named transcription intermediary factor 1-alpha-like, with no coding region annotated. The record is from RefSeq and is a predicted model, not a curated record. Lineage: Eukaryota; Metazoa; Chordata; Actinopteri; Centrarchiformes; Centrarchidae. The transcript has 19 exons.
AGAUGUGGUGGUGUGAGAAGAUGCUCUUUUCGCGAAGGGAGACAAAUGACUAUUGAGCCUGGUCCGCUCACCCGUGUGGGUACAUUUUAUAUACAGAGAGAAAUCUAGCAUAAAGUGCAGCAAAUGGAUGGACGCACAGAAAAACAGGAGACGGGGGAUGCUGCUCUCAUCAUCGUUGAGAACGAAGCUGAGAGCAUGCCAGUGCAAGAGGAAAGGUCGGCUGCAAACGGCCAAAAUUACCUGGACACUUGCCCCGUUUGCCAUCUAAACUUUCACAGUCGAGAGCCUAAACUUCUGCCGUGUCUGCACUCUUUUUGCAAGAAAUGUUUGCCGUCACCUUCCAGGAAUUUGGCCGUGUCAGAGCCGCCAAACUCCCAGGUUGACAGCGCGACCAAACCACUGAAUGUGAUCCGCUGUCCGGUGUGCAGGCAGGAGUGUAUGGAGGUAGAUGUGAUGGAAAACGUCUUUGUGAAGGACUCAGUUGAGGCUCCCAGCAGCACAGUGGAGAGGACAGUCCAGCUCUGUAUGACAUGUGAUGACAACACUGAAGCUGCUGGGUUUUGUGUGGACUGUGUUGAGUACCUCUGUUCCACCUGUGUGGAGGCCCACCAAAGAGUCAAAUUCACCAAAGACCACACCAUCAGACAGAAGACAGAAGUGUCACACGAGGUCCAUGGUGUGUCGACUCAGAGGCCGAUGUUCUGUGACAUCCACAAACAAGAGCCACUGAAGCUGUUCUGUGAGACCUGCGACCUGCUAACAUGUCGUGACUGCCAACUAGUCAAGCACAAGGACCACAAUUACCAGUUCCUGGAAGAUGCUUAUAGAAACCACAAAGAGCACAUGCAGAGCAUGACCCAUCAGCUACAGGAAAAAAGGAAACUAAUUGAAGAAGUGUCAAACUCCAUAAACAAUGGACUUCUUCAGGUUGAUCAGAACCGCAUGUCUGUUCAUAAUGAAAUAAAGAAAUCCAUCUGCAGUUUGAUUCUUGAGAUAAACAAGAAGGGCAAGAUGCUAGUUAAUCAACUUGAGGCUGUAACAAAGGAUCACGAGAGUGUCUUGCGAAAACAACAGGAGGACAUUGGCUAUCUAGCCAGACACCUGGAUCAUGUCAUCAACUUCACCAAAUGGGCCACAGCCAAGAAUGGGGGAACGGCCCUCUUGUACUGUAAACGUUUGAUUCUGUUUCAGAUUGGAAACCUCCUACAGGCAAAAUGUAGUACCUCGUUUAUACCACAAAGCACUGCACGCUUCCAGUGUCGAUCCUCUUAUUGGGCCUCAAAUGUUGAUCUUGGCUCUUUAGUGGUGGAGAGUCUACCAGGCCACCAGCUGGGUGGUUUUCAGGGUAUCCCUCAUCAGCUCUCCCACCUUGGGCAGGGCCCCUCAGGCUCACCCCACAGCUUUGCCCUGGGAGCACCCCAUAGUACUCUGGCUCAGCUCCAGAUGCAAGUGGACAAGCUAAACCCACAGGCCCACUGGCAGGCCCAGCCACCCCCUCCACCCUGGACAUGGUAUCAGAGUGUCAGACUACAGCGAACCGUCCCAGGGCCCCUGCAAGGAGGGUCUCCAUCCCACAGUAUGCCUCCCCAACCAGGCCGCAGGUUUAUGGUGCCUCCUCCAAACCACGUCAGUCCAACUAACAGCUUACCGAGUCCUGGGUUUAUGCCCCAGCCUCUGAGGGAUAUGGGUAGCAACUCCAGCUACCAACCCAAACCUAUGGACGUAUUUUCCUCUUCCCCUUUCUACACCCAUAUAACACCGCUGCCGAUCAAUCGUGACGUUGGUUUGCCACAAUCACGACAGAUGGUUGAGCCCACAUAUCUGAAUAGAAGGAAAGAUUCAGUUGGUCCAUACAUGUUGGAACCAAACAAUCCCCAGAGCCUGCCACCUUCUUUGCUACACAGAAAUGUGCAAGGACAACAUAAUUCACCAGGGUACACUGAUUCCCAGGAGGAGAAACCAGGUAUUGUUUCCUGGAGACCUCCAGAACCACAACAGGCUAGUGGAGCAGUGGGAUCAGCUGUCAAGAAAAGACGAAGGUUGUCUCCAGGGCCCAUCAUAGUCAUCAAAGAUGAGCCAGAUGAUGACAGGAGCUACGUGCAAACAAACCAAAAAGCCAGCCUCCCUGAUAGCACAGGUGACCAACCCCAAAUCAGUACCCAAGGUGAGGGGAUGAAAGUCCCAACUCCUCUUCAAAACAUGGAUGACAAACCCCAAUGCCCUUCACAGCCUCUAAGCAACCCACGGGACCAGAGCAAGACUAAUCACAUCUGUUCACUUGGAGGAGAACAGCAGCCUGUAGACCAGCACCAAUCUCUUCUGGAAGACUCUAACAAAGCCUUCUGUGUGGUGUGUCAGACUGGGGGAGAGCUGCUGUGCUGCGAUAAGUGUCCCAAGGUGUUUCACCUUUCGUGCCAUGUUCCAACUCUACUGAAACCUCCCAGUGGGGAAUGGUUUUGCUCUUUCUGCCGUGACCUGCUGGUGCCUGAGAUGGAGUAUGAAAGCAAACCCGAAGCCAGAAAAGUAAAGAAGGAGCCAGAUGAAGGAGGAUUUUCCCCUGUGGACAAACGAAAGUGUGAGAGGCUGUUGCUACACUUGUUUUGCAGUGACCUGAGUUCCAACUUUCAAGAGCCUGUGUCCCCUACGGUACAUGCUAAUAGCAGGCUGACUAUAAAUGGACUGAUGUAUCUUUCCCCUGUGAAAAAACGACUAGAGGCUAAGCAGAGUCUGUGCUAUCAAAGCCCUGCAGAGUUUAUAUCAGAUAUCAGGCUCAUCUUUCAGAAUUUUGCAGUCCUCCUUGAGGCUGACACAGAGGUCACCAUGGCAGGCAGGAAGCUUAAGGAGCAGUUUGAAGAGCACUUGAGGAUCGUCUUCCCUGACCAGACCUUCCCACAAAUCAAACUGGAGAUGAUGCAUACUUCCCCUCUUGACUCUCAACUCUCAUCUCUUGACCAUAUAUCCCAGCCUGCAAAGCGCCAGCACACGUGUUCAGACUCCCAGGAUAGACCAAGCUGGCCUAGUGGAGAGGAGGGAGCAGUAUGAAAGCACAAAUGUUUUAAAUUCUUAGAUAUUUGACAACACUGCCAGCACCAGCUAAUAUGUGCGAACAAGUCCUUUGAGCACCACCGGGCAGCCCUCUGACUGCCUGACUGUGUUAGUGGCCCUCUGCUGAUUGACACAGACCUGGCAAGACAAGCUUUGUUGAGCUUCAAAGGAACUGUACUGCACCCCCAACAACAAGAUUAACACUGUUUGAUUGCGACCUAGGCCACUCCAAUUUCCUCCACCUGUGAGCAAGGAAGUCAGCUCACACUGCUGUUUCUUGUUUUUGCCCAAAUGUAGAUUGGAGGUGGAGAGGAGGGCUAACAGGCAUGAGAAGUUGCCAUCAGAUGUUGACCAAGCUCUAGCCAGGCUUGGAGCCUGACACUGGUCUGGCUCUCAUUUUGGGCAUUCUUGAUUCAUUAUGGCCUCUAAAGGACUAUUAUCUCUUCUACACUACACUAAGGCAAAGAUAAGAUUAAUGACAGGUCUGCAGGAAAGGGGUGCCCUUUGUUGGUGUAAAUACUGUUACAUUACAAAGGUCUAGCAUCAGAGGUCCUACUGCACAGAUUAAAUAUGUAUCCAGGAUCAUAAAGGUGUCCUUUCAUGUUUGUUUUUUUCAUUUACUAAAAUAUUUAACGUCACUUUUCAAGGUAUGCUGGAGUUUUGGGAUUUUUCACUCCAGACACUGGUUUUCAUUAAUUUUUGCUAAGGUAUUAGCAUCAACCUGCAGAAGUUAGGUAAUC